This 460-nucleotide ribosomal RNA is filed under the name uncultured bacterium. Its description in RNAcentral is "partial 16S ribosomal RNA". It matches the Rfam family "Bacterial small subunit ribosomal RNA", at positions 338 to 795 of the family's 1533-position model. The record is from RNAcentral.
CCUACGGGAGGCAGCAGUGAGGAAUAUUGGUCAAUGGACGAGAGUCUGAACCAGCCAAGUAGCGUGAAGGAUGACUGCCCUAUGGGUUGUAAACUUCUUUUAUAUGGGAAUAAAAUGUUCCACGUGUGGGAUAUUGUAUGUAUCACAUGAAUAAGGAUCGGCUAACUCCGUGCCAGUAGCCGCGGUAAUACGGAGGAUCUGAGCGUUAUCCGGAUUUAUUGGGUUUAAAGGGAGCGUAGGUGGAUUGUUAAGUCAGUUGUGAAAGUUUGCGGCUCAACCGUAAAAUUGCAGUUGAAACUGGCAGUCUUGAGUAUAGGAGAGGUAGGCGGAAUUCGUGGUGUAGCGGUAAAAUGCGUAGAUAUCACGAAGAACUCCGAUUGCGAAGGCAGCUCGCUGGACUACAACUGACGCUGAGGCUCGAAAGUGUGGGUAGCAAACAGGAUUAGAUACCCGGGUAGUC